RNAcentral lists this ribosomal RNA (450 nucleotides) under Streptococcus constellatus. RNAcentral describes it as "bacterial SSU rRNA". It matches the Rfam family "Bacterial small subunit ribosomal RNA", at positions 31 to 463 of the family's 1533-position model. The record is from RNAcentral. Lineage: Bacteria; Bacillati; Bacillota; Bacilli; Lactobacillales; Streptococcaceae.
GAACGCUGGCGGCGUGCCUAAUACAUGCAAGUAGAACGCACAGGAUGCACCGUAGUUUACUACACCGUAUUCUGUGAGUUGCGAACGGGUGAGUAACGCGUAGGUAACCUGCCUGGUAGCGGGGGAUAACUAUUGGAAACGAUAGCUAAUACCGCAUAAGAACAUUUACUGCAUGGUAGAUGUUUAAAAGGUGCAAAAGCAUCACUACCAGAUGGACCUGCGUUGUAUUAGCUAGUUGGUGAGGUAACGGCUCACCAAGGCAACGAUACAUAGCCGACCUGAGAGGGUGAUCGGCCACACUGGGACUGAGACACGGCCCAGACUCCUACGGGAGGCAGCAGUAGGGAAUCUUCGGCAAUGGGGGGAACCCUGACCGAGCAACGCCGCGUGAGUGAAGAAGGUUUUCGGAUCGUAAAGCUCUGUUGUUAAGGAAGAACGUGUGUGAGAGUG